AAUUUUGGAUAAUGGGGGAAACCCUGAUCCAGCCAUCCCGCGUGUAUUAUGAAGGCCUUCGGGUUGUAAAGUACUUUUGGCAGAGAAGAAAAGGUACCUCCUAAUACGAGGUACUGCUGACGGUAUCUGCAGAAUAAGCACCGGCUAACUACGUGCCGGCGGCCGCGGUAAUACGUAGGGUGCAAGCGUUAAUCGGCAUUACUGGGCGUAAAGAGUGUGUAGGCGGUUCGGAAAGAAAGAUGUGAAAUCCCAGGGCUCAACCUUGGAACUGCAUUUUUAACUGCCGAGCUAGAGUAUGUCAGAGGGGGGUAGAAUUACACGUGUAGCAGUGAAAUGCGUAGAUAUGUGGAGGAAUACCGAUGGCGAAGGCAGCCCCCUGGGAUUAUACUGACGCUCAGACACGAAAGCGUGGGGAGCAAACAG
Molecule: ribosomal RNA, 423 nt
Filed under: uncultured bacterium
Lineage: Bacteria
Description: partial 16S ribosomal RNA
Rfam family: Bacterial small subunit ribosomal RNA
Source: RNAcentral